GAUGAACGCUGGCGGCGUGCCUAAUACGUGCAAGUCGAGCGAACAGACGAGGAGCUUGCUCCUCUGACGUUAGCGGCGGACGGGUGAGUAACACGUGGAUAACCUACCUAUAAGACUGGGAUAACUUCGGGAAACCGGAGCUAAUACCGGAUAAUAUAUUGAACCGCAUGGUUCAAUAGUGAAAGACGGUUUUGCUGUCACUUAUAGAUGGAUCCGCGCCGCAUUAGCUAGUUGGUAAGGUAACGGCUUACCAAGGCAACGAUGCGUAGCCGACCUGAGAGGGUGAUCGGCUACACUGGAACUGAGACACGGUCCAGACUCCUACGGGAGGCAGCAGUAGGGAAUCUUCCGCAAUGGGCGAAAGCCUGACGGAGCAACGCCGCGUGAGUGAUGAAGGUCUUCGGAUCGUAAAACUCUGUUAUUAGGGAAGAACAAAUGUGUAAGUAACUAUGCACGUCUUGACGGUACCUAAUCAGAAAGCCACGGCUAACUACGUG
RNAcentral lists this ribosomal RNA (497 nucleotides) under uncultured bacterium. Its description in RNAcentral is "partial 16S ribosomal RNA". It matches the Rfam family "Bacterial small subunit ribosomal RNA", at positions 28 to 507 of the family's 1533-position model. The record is from RNAcentral.